UACGUAGGGUGCAAGCGUUAAUCGGAAUUACUGGGCGUAAAGCGUGCGCAGGCGGUUAUGCAAGACAGAUGUGAAAUCCCCGGGCUCAACCUGGGAACUGCCAUUUGUGACUGCAAGGCUAGAGUACGGUAGAGGGGAUGGAAUUCCGCGUGUAGCAGUGAAAUGCGUAGAUAUGCGGAGGAACACCGAUGGCGAAGGCAAUCCCCUGGACCUGUACUGACGCUCAUGCACGAAAGGCGUGGGGAGCAAACAGG
RNAcentral lists this ribosomal RNA (254 nucleotides) under uncultured bacterium. Its description in RNAcentral is "partial 16S ribosomal RNA". It matches the Rfam family "Bacterial small subunit ribosomal RNA", at positions 524 to 776 of the family's 1533-position model. The record is from RNAcentral.